RNAcentral lists this ribosomal RNA (274 nucleotides) under uncultured bacterium. RNAcentral's name for it is "partial 16S ribosomal RNA". It matches the Rfam family "Bacterial small subunit ribosomal RNA", at positions 523 to 796 of the family's 1533-position model. The record is from RNAcentral.
AUACGGAGGGUGCGAGCGUUAAUCGGAAUUACUGGGCGUAAAGCGCGCGUAGGCGGUUUGGUCAGUCGGAUGUGAAAGCCCUGGGCUUAACCUGGGAAUGGCAUUCGAUACUGCAGAGCUAGAGUAUGGUAGAGGGAAGUGGAAUUUCCGGUGUAGCGGUGAAAUGCGUAGAUAUCGGAAGGAACACCAGUGGCGAAGGCGACUUCCUGGGCCAAUACUGACGCUGAGGUGCGAAAGCGUGGGGAGCAAACAGGAUUAGAAACCCGGGUAGUCC